GCUUUAACAUAUCUUUUAUUAUUUGCACUUUCCAGAGUUGAGCAGCUGGCUGAGGGCAUUAUGAAAGACAUAGGAUGCUGUGGCAUUAUGGUCCUGAGUGUCCUUAAAGGAGGUCACAAACUGUGUGCCGACCUCGUAGAACACCUUGAGAACAUCAGCCAGCAUUCAGACAGAUGCGUUUCUACCAAGGUUGAUCUCAUCAGACUGAAGAGUUACAAGCCACGUAACGUCUCACAUGAAAACCGAUCGGACAAAACAACUAAACACCGAAAAGGAAGUCCUCGUGCUUAUCUUGUCAUGGGCCUAAGAAGACUGACGGUGUGCCAGGGUCUCACUCAAAGCCAAAGUGAUAUCUCACUAAUGUCAGUCUAAUACGCCUUAAAUGAAGGUACCUUUCGAUUAUGAGUCAUCUUUGUAUGUAUGUAUGUAUGAGUCAUCUUUGU
Molecule: long non-coding RNA, 443 nt
Filed under: Fukomys damarensis (Damara mole-rat)
Lineage: Eukaryota; Metazoa; Chordata; Mammalia; Rodentia; Bathyergidae
Description: lncRNA (ENSFDAG00000025953.1)
Source: RNAcentral